RNAcentral lists this ribosomal RNA (393 nucleotides) under uncultured bacterium. RNAcentral's name for it is "partial 16S ribosomal RNA". It matches the Rfam family "Bacterial small subunit ribosomal RNA", at positions 523 to 918 of the family's 1533-position model. The record is from RNAcentral.
AUACGGAGGAUCCGAGCGUUAUCCGGAUUUAUUGGGUUUAAAGGGAGCGUAGGUGGACAGUUAAGUCAGUUGUGAAAGUUUGCGGCUCAACCGUAAAAUUGCAGUUGAUACUGGCUGGCUUUAGUACAGUAGAGGGGGGCGGGAUUUGCGGGGGUGGGGGGAAAUUCUUAGAUAGCACGAAGAACUCCGAUUGCGAAGGCAGCUCACUGGACUGCAACUGGCACUGAUGCUCGAAAGUGUGGGUAUCAAACAGGAUUAGAUUCCCUGGUAGUCCACACAGUAAACGAUGAAUACUCCCUGUUUGCGAUAUACAGUAAGCGGCCAAGCGAAAGCAUUAAGUAUUCCACCUGGGGAGUACGCCUGCAACGGUGAAACUCAAAUGAAUUGACGGGG